This is a long non-coding RNA of Oxyura jamaicensis (ruddy duck), 207 nucleotides long. RefSeq lists it as uncharacterized. The record is from RefSeq and is a predicted model, not a curated record. The transcript has 3 exons. Lineage: Eukaryota; Metazoa; Chordata; Aves; Anseriformes; Anatidae.
UAUAAACAGUUUGGGAUGAAAUGCACUCUGUCCACUCGUUCUGUAUGUGUAGUAAGAGAAAACCUCUCCAUCCCACAACAAGCAACUGAAAUAUCCAGGAGGAUCACUCGCAAAGUCAGUUGCAGAUCCACCCUAAAGAGAUCUGAUGAGCAGAAGCUGCAUGAGAAUACAGGAGCAAGACGAACAGUCUUACCAUGGACUCUUUGU